GAUGAAGAACGCAGCGAAAUGCGAUAAGUAAUGUGAAUUGCAGAAUUCAGUGAAUCAUCGAAUCUUUGAACGCACAUUGCGCCCCUUGGUAUUCCGAGGGGCAUGCCUGUUCGAGCGUCAUUUAAACCAAUCUAGCUUGCUAGGUCUUGGGCUUUCGCCUCUGGGCGGGCCUCAAAAUCAGUGGCGGUGCUGCCGGGCUUUAAGCGUAGUAAUCUUUCUCGCUAUAGGGUCCUGGUAGAGGCUUGCCAACAACUAUAAAUCUUUCAAAGGUUGACCUCGGAUCAGGUAGGGAUACCCGCUGAACUUAAGCAUAUCAAUAAGCGGAGGA
Molecule: unclassified non-coding RNA, 328 nt
Filed under: soil metagenome
Description: partial contains 5.8S ribosomal RNA, internal transcribed spacer 2, and large subunit ribosomal RNA
Rfam family: 5.8S ribosomal RNA (bases 1-120)
Source: RNAcentral